AGGGCGUAUGGUGGAUGCCUAGGCUCUCAGAGGCGAUGAAGGACGUGAUAAGCUGCGAAAAGCUCCGUUUAGGUGCAAAUAACCUUUGAUGCGGAGAUCUCCGAAUGGGAUAACCCAAUAUGUUGAAGACAUAUUAUACCGUAAGGUAGGCAAACGCAGGGAACUGAAACAUCUAAGUACCUGCAGGAGAAGAAAACAAACGUGAUUCCCCCAGUAGCGGCGAGCGACCGGGGAUAAGCCCAAACCGUUAUUGUUUCGGCAGUAGCGGGGUAGUAGGACUGCGACAUUGAUGAAAUAAAUGAAAUGGAACACUUUGGAAAAUGUGAUCACAGAGGGUGAUAAUCCCGUACAUGUAAGUUUAUGAAUCAUAGCAGACUCCUGAGUAAGUCGGGACACGUGUAAUCCUGACCGAAUCCGCCGGGACCAUCCGGCAAGGCUAAAUACUCCUGAGAGACCGAUAGUGAACCAGUACCGUGAGGGAAAGGUGAAAAGCACUUCGAACAGAAGAGUGAAAUAGUCCCUGAACCCAUACGCCUACAAGCUGUCGGAGCCGCUUCGUGCGGUGACGGCGUGCCUUUUGCAUAAUGAGCCUACGAGUUACUCAUCACCAGCGAGGUUAAGUACUUCAGGUACGUAAGCCGAAGCGAAAGCGAGUCUGAAUAGGGCGUCAAGUUGGUGGUGGUAGACGCGAAACCUUAGUGAUCUACCCAUGGGCAGGGUGAAGGUUUGGUAACACAAACUGGAGGCCCGAACCGGUAAACGUUGAAAAGUUUUCGGAUGACCUGUGGGUAGGGGUGAAAGGCCAAUCAAACUGGGAAAUAGCUCGUACUCUCCGAAAUGCAUUUAGGUGCAGCCUCUGUUGUUUUGUUCUAGAGGUAGAGCUACUGAUUGGAUGCGAGGGCUUCACCGCCUAUCAAAUCCGGCCAAACUCCGAAUGCUAGAACAUGAAGACAGGGAGUGAGCCAGCGGGUGCUAAGGUCCGUUGACGAAAGAGGGAGAACUCAGACCAUCAGCUAAGGUCCCCAAUUAUAUGCUAAGUUGGAAUAAAAACGGGGUGGGACUGCUUAGACAGCUAGGAUGUUGGCUUGGAAGCAGCCAUUCAUUUAAAGAGUGCGUAACAGCUCACUAGUCGAGCGGUCCUGCAUGGAUAAUACGCGGGCAUAAGCAUAUAACCGAAGCUAUGGGAUUGUAGAUGAUACAAUCGGUAGGAGAGCAUUCCAUUCAGCAUAGAAGCAGUAUCGUGAGGUAUUGUGGAGCGGAUGGAAAAGCAAAUGUAGGCAUAAGUAACGAUAAUGCGGGUGAGAACCCCGCACGCCGAAAGAUCAAGGAUUCCCCGGCAAUGUCAAUCAUCCGGGGGUAAGUCGGAUCCUAAGGGUAAGCCGAGUGGCGAUCCCGAUGGCAAACAGGUUAAUAUUCCUGUACUGAUCAUAACUGCGAUGCAGCGACGCAGAGGUGACACUGCUGCGUACUGACGGAAUAGUACGUUGAAACCCGUAUUCUUUGAUACCGGUAGUGAAGCACGCCGGUAGAGAUGAAAGGUGAUAGUACCGCAAUGCUUCGGUUGCGCGGAUAAUGCAGGUAAGCUGACUGCCAAGAAAACCUGCUAAGCUUCAGGUAAUGAUCAUCCGUACUGUAAACGGACACACGUGAUCAGGUAGAAAAUACUAAGGCGCUGAGAGAUUCAUGGUUAAGGAACUAGGCAAAAUGGUCCUGUAACUUCGGGAUAAAGGACGCUCUUGUGAAAGAGCCGCAGAUAAUAGGCCCAGGCGACUGUUUACCAAAAACACAUGGCUAUGCUAAUUCGCAAGAAGAUGUAUAUGGCCUGACACCUGCCCGGUGCCGGAAGGUUAAGAGGAGAGCUCAGAUGUAAGUCGAAGGUUUGAAUUGAAGCCCCGGUAAACGGCGGCCGUAACUAUAACGGUCCUAAGGUAGCGAAAUUCCUUGUCGGGUAAGUUCCGACCUGCACGAAUGGUGUAACGAUCUGGGUACUGUCUCAACCAUGAGCUCGGUGAAAUUGUAGUUCCGGUGAAGAUGCCGGAUACCCGCAACGGGACGGAAAGACCCCGUGAACCUUUACUGCAGCUUUGCAUUGAUUUUGGGUAACAGAUGUGUAGGAUAGGUCGGAGGCUUUGAUGCUGCGUCGUCAGGCGUAGAGUAGCCGUCGUUGAAAUACGGCCCUUUUGU
Molecule: ribosomal RNA, 2184 nt
Filed under: human gut metagenome
Description: bacterial LSU rRNA
Rfam family: Bacterial large subunit ribosomal RNA
Source: RNAcentral